GACGAACGCUGGCGGCGUGCUUAACACAUGCAAGUCGAACGAUGAAGCCGGAGCUUGCUCUGGUGAAUUAGUGGCGAACGGGUGAGUAACACGUGAGUAACCUGCCCUUGACUCUGGGAUAACUGCGGGAAACUGUAGCUAAUACCGGAUACGACCCUCGGAGGCAUCUCCUGGGGGUGGAAAGAAUUUCGGUCAAGGAUGGACUCGCGGCCUAUCAGCUAGUUGGUGAGGUAAAGGCUCACCAAGGCGACGACGGGUAGCCGGCUUGGGAGGGUGACCGGCCACACUGGUACUGAGACACGGCCCAGACUCCUACGGGAGGCAGCAGUGGGGAAUAUUGCACCAUGGGCGCAAGCCUGAUGCAGCAACGCCGCGUGAGGGAUGACGGCCUUCGGGUUGUAAACCUCUUUUAGCAGGGAAGAAGCGAAAGUGACGGUACCUGCAGAAAAAGCACCGGCUAACUACGUGCCAGCCGCCGCCGUAA
RNAcentral lists this ribosomal RNA (484 nucleotides) under uncultured bacterium. RNAcentral's name for it is "partial 16S ribosomal RNA". It matches the Rfam family "Bacterial small subunit ribosomal RNA", at positions 28 to 523 of the family's 1533-position model. The record is from RNAcentral.